AAAAAAACCCCUGAAAUGAGCCCCCAGGAAAACCCCCACGGCCCCUCCCCACCCACCUGGUUCAGGGAAAAAUUUCCUCUGAGAGGGAAGUGGAAAAGAACCUGUUUAUUCAACAACAAAGCACUCCCCAGUACCAAAACAAUUAACACAAGAUGACAACAAGACUCUUUCACCCCUCUGAAGAGCUGAACAAAUCCAGAAGGUCUUUCCUGGGAGUGGUCGCCCGGGUCUGGACGCUGGGGAUGGCUGCUGCAGAUCACCAAAUGCAGGCUCCUGGUGUUCCUUGGUGUUUCCCAGGUCCCAGUCCAGAGCAGGUUGAAUGAUGUUCAGAAAGAGGAAAGGGAAAAAAAACAACAGUCCAGGGAAAGAAUUGGACUGCUUAACCUAACUAGGAAGCAAAGCAAGAAAGCAAGAAAGCAGGCAAAGCAAGCAAGCCAAGCAAGCAAGCAAGCAAAGCAAGCAAGCCAAGCAAGCAAGCAAAAGCAAAGCCAGCCAGCCAGCCCUAGCCUUUUCUAGCUUUCCAGCAGACAUGGGGGGAGGUGAACCAGAUGAUAACACAGCAAAACAAACCUUCACUUUCAGAGUCAGUUCUGAAAGCACAGAACAUAAUAUCAAACGUAAACAGAACACACGAUUGGAGAUACAAACACCAUAACAGUCACCCUAGGACAUUCCACCCCUUAUCUCCAUAUCUUCAACAUCAUGUAAAAACUCCAUCAAGUUAAAACUUGUAUCUUUCACUUACUCAUACCUUCUUUCUCAUGUCUGUGUGUUUUCAUGCACAGACAUUGACAGUAACAUCCAGCAAACAGUGAUAUUUGCACAAUAGUUUCACCCCACAAUCAGAUCUCCCUGAGGUACACAUCGUGUUGUUCCAUCUCUCUGCAUUAUCCACCAUGUACAACCUGGUCCCUGAGCAAAGACAAUCCCAUGAAUGGGUUUGUCUGUACUCGAGGCAGGAUUGAUCCACACUGAUUUCCCUAACAAACCUCUGACAUGUGCCACUGGGACUUUAUCUCCGUCUACUAUAUUCAGGGGCUCAGACUGGGCAGGACCUGCUCGAUUGGUGGAACCUCGGCUGUUAACUAACCAGGUGGCCUUUGCUAAAUGUUGCUCCCAAUUUUUGAAAGAUCCCCCACCCAAUGCUUUUAAGGUGGUUUUUAACAGUCCAUUGUACCUCUCCACUUUGCCUGCAGCUGGUGCAUGGUAGGGGAUGUGGUACACCCACUCAAUGCCAUGUUCCCUAGCCCAGGUGUUGAUAAGGCUGUUCUUGAAAUGAGUCCCAUUGUCUGACUCAAUCCUCUCAGGGGUACCAUGCCUCCAAAGGACCUGCUUUUCAAGGCCCAGGAUGGUGUUACGGGCUGUAGCAUGAGACACAGGGUAGGUUUCCAACCAUCCAGUGGUGGCUUCUACCAUUGUGAGCACGUAGCGCUUGCCUUGGCGUGUCUGGGGCAGUGUGAUGUAGUCAAUCUGCCAGGCCUCCCCAUACUUGUACUUGGACCACCGCCCACCAUACCACAGGGGCUUCACCCGCUUGGCCUGUUUGAUGGUAGCGCAUGUCUCACAGUCAUGGAUAACCUGAGAAAUACUGUCCAUGGUUAAAUCCACCCCUCGGUCUCGUGCCCACUUAUAAGUGGCAUCUCUACCCUGAUGGCCUGAGGCAUCAUGGGCCCAUCGUGCUAGGAACAACUCCCCCUUGUGUUCCCAAUCGAGGUCUAUCUUUGACACCCCUAUCUUUGCAGCCUGAUCUACCUGCUGAUUGUUUUGCUGCUCUUCAUUAGCUCUGCUUCUGGGUACAUGGGCAUCUACAUGGCGAACCUUCACAGGUAGCUUCUCUACCCGGGUAGCGAUAUCUUUCCACUCUUCAGCAGCCCAAAUUGGUUUUCCUCUACGCUGCCAGUUAGCUUCUUUCCACCUCUCUAGCCACCCCCACAGAGCAUUGGCUACCAUCCAUGAAUCAGUGUAGAGGUAGAGCUUUGGCCACUUCUCCCUUUCUGCAAUGUCUAGGGCCAGUUGAACGGCUUUGAGUUCAGCAAACUGGCUUGAUCCACCUUCUCCUUCAGUGGCCUCUGCAACCCGUCGUGUGGGACUCCAUACAGCUGCUUUCCACUUCCGAUUCAUCCCUACGAUGCGGCAGGAACCGUCAGUGAAGAGAGCAUAGCGUGUUUCCUCUGCUGGCAGUUGGUUAUAUGGUGGAGCUUCUUCGGCCCGUGUCACUGGUUCUUCUUCUUCAUCUGCGACACCAAAACUUUCACCCUCGGGCCAAUUUGUAAUUACUUCUAAAAUCCCAGGGCGAUUCAGCUUACCAAUAUGGGCACGCUGCGUGAUGAGAGCAAUCCACUUGCUCCAUGUAGCACUGGUGGCAUGGUGGGUGGAGGGAACCUUUCCUCUGAACAUCCACCCCAGCACCGGUAGUCGGGGUGCCAGGAGGAGUUGUGCUUCUGUGCCAAUCACCUCUGAGGCGGCCUGGACUCCCUCGUAGGCGGCCAAGAUUUCCUUCUCUGUUGGGGUGUAGUUGGCUUCAGACCCUCUGUAGCUCCGACUCCAAAAUCCCAGUGGUCGGCCCCGAGUCUCAUCAGGCACCUUCUGCCAAAGGCUCCAGGACAGACCAUGGUUCCCAGCUGCAGAGUAGAGCACGUUCUUCACAUCUGGUCCUGUCCUGACUGGGCCAAGAGCUACUGCAUGAGCAAUUUCUUGCUUUAUCUGGGUGAAAGCUUGCUGCUGCUCAGGGCCCCAACAGAAAUCAUUCUUCUUACGGGUGAC
This 2763-nucleotide long non-coding RNA is filed under the name Taeniopygia guttata (zebra finch). RNAcentral's name for it is "lncRNA (ENSTGUG00000029775.1)". The record is from RNAcentral. Lineage: Eukaryota; Metazoa; Chordata; Aves; Passeriformes; Estrildidae.